Molecule: ribosomal RNA, 253 nt
Filed under: uncultured Ignavibacterium sp.
Lineage: Bacteria; Pseudomonadati; Ignavibacteriota; Ignavibacteria; Ignavibacteriales; Ignavibacteriaceae
Description: partial 16S ribosomal RNA
Rfam family: Bacterial small subunit ribosomal RNA
Source: RNAcentral
UACGUAGGGGGUUAGCGUUGUCCGGAUUUACUGGGUAUAAAGGGCGCGUAGGCGGGUUUGUAAGUCAGUGGUGAAAUCCUACAGCUUAACUGUAGAACUGCCUUUGAUACUGCAAAUCUUGAGUUCAGAAGAGAGAGAUGGAAUUCCAGGUGUAGUGGUGAAAUACGUAGAUAUCUGGAAGAACACCAGUGGCGAAGGCGAUCUCUUGGUCUGUAACUGACGCUGAGGCGCGAAAGCGUGGGUAGCAAACAGG